AUCACCAUUUCAAUAAAUUUCAUACACACAUGCCUUGGUGUAUAUUAAACACUUACCAUAGCCAUAAGCUAAUGAUUAAACACAUAACUUAGCGAUAUCAUCACAUGGUAAGAUAUAGUUCAUAAACAUAGCAUCUCUUAAAUCAUACCUUUCAUAUUCAUGAAUAUUCAUACUUUAAUCAUUGACACAUCAUACCUUUCCAUAUUUGUUGUAGUGAAGUCAAUCAAAACCCUUACCGGAGCUCACACAAAGUGUGUUAAACGAUGGUCGAAACCAUCCCUUUUCUAUAAUCGAUGAAUACUGUGAAGACGAUUGAAACCCUGGUGCACGUUUCCAUUGUGCCAUAGUCCAACUAUGAUCUUACAUAUGCAUU
This 373-nucleotide long non-coding RNA is filed under the name Gossypium barbadense (sea-island cotton). RNAcentral describes it as "long non-coding RNA (GBAR_LNC006468)". The record is from RNAcentral. Lineage: Eukaryota; Viridiplantae; Streptophyta; Magnoliopsida; Malvales; Malvaceae.